CGAAGCACCCGGGCGCCCUGGCGGGCGCGCGAAUCAAUUGUCCCUUUAUCCUUUUUCAGGAGCAAAGCUGGCGGCGUGCUUUAUACCUGUUAGUCGAGCAAUGAAAACCCCUCCGGGAUGGAUUAGCGGCGGACAGGGGAGUAACACCUGGGCAACCUGCCUCACAAUGGGGGAUAGCCUUCCGAAAAGGAGAAUAAUACCAACAUAACAUUAGUUUUUCACAUGAAUUACUAAAUUAAGGAGAAAUCCGCUUUGAUAUGGGCCCGCGGCGCACUACCUAGUUUGUGAGGUAACACCUCACCCAAGGCUCGAUGCGUAGGCGACCUGAGAGGGUGAUCCUACACAUCUGGAACUGAGACACGGCUCUCAGACUCUCUCCUGGAGGCACCACUGGGGAAAAUUGUACAAUGGGCGAAUACCUGAUGCCGCAACGCCGCCCGAGUGAUGAAGGCCUUCUGGUUGUAAAACUCUGUCUUUGUGGACGAUAAUGACGGCACCCAACGACGAAGCCACGGCUAACUACCUGCCAGCCCCCUCGGUAAUACUUACGUGGCGAGCGUUGUCCG
RNAcentral lists this ribosomal RNA (566 nucleotides) under Clostridium drakei. RNAcentral's name for it is "bacterial SSU rRNA". It matches the Rfam family "Bacterial small subunit ribosomal RNA", at positions 1 to 547 of the family's 1533-position model. Lineage: Bacteria; Bacillati; Bacillota; Clostridia; Eubacteriales; Clostridiaceae. The record is from RNAcentral.